UGGGGACUAUUGCACAAUGGGGGAAACCCUGAUGCAGCGACGCCGCGUGAGUGAAGAAGUAAUUCGUUAUGUAAAGCUCUAUCAGCAGGGAAGAAAAUGACGGUACCUGAGUAAGAAGCCCCGGCUAACUACGUGCCAGCAGCCGCGGUAAUACGUAGGGGGCAAGCGUUAUCCGGAUUUACUGGGUGUAAAGGGAGCGUAGACGGCAGUGCAAGUCUGGAGUGAAAGGCGGGGGCUCAACCCCCGGACUGCUCUGGAAACUGUACGGCUGGAGUGCAGGAGAGGUAAGUGGAAUUCCUAGUGUAGCGGUGAAAUGCGUAGAUAUUAGGAGGAACACCAGUGGCGAAGGCGGCUUACUGGACUGUAACUGACGUUGAGGCUCGAAAGCGUGGGGAGCAAACAGG
Molecule: ribosomal RNA, 404 nt
Filed under: uncultured bacterium
Lineage: Bacteria
Description: bacterial SSU rRNA
Rfam family: Bacterial small subunit ribosomal RNA
Source: RNAcentral